AACGAACGCUGGCGGCAGGCCUAACACAUGCAAGUCGAGCGAGAUCUUCGGGUCUAGCUGCGGACGGGUGAGUAACGCGUGGGAAUAUGCCUCUUGGUACGGAAUAGCCUCGGGAAACUGGGAGUAAUACCGUAUGUGCCCUUUGGGGGAAAGAUUUAUCGCCAAGAGAUUAGCCCGCGUUGGAUUAGGUAGAUGGUGGGGUAAUGGCCUACCAAGCCGACGAUCGAUAGCUGGUUUGAGAGGAAGAACAGCCACACUGGGACUGAGACACGGCCCAGACUCCUACGGGAGGCAGCAGUGGGGAAUCUUAGACAAUGGCGGCAACACUGAUAUAGCCAUGCCGAGUGAGAGAUGAAGGCCUUAGGGUUGUAAAGCUCUUUCAGCUGGGAAGAUAAUGACGGUACCAGCAGAAGAAGCCCCGGCUAACUCCGUG
RNAcentral lists this ribosomal RNA (433 nucleotides) under uncultured bacterium. RNAcentral's name for it is "partial 16S ribosomal RNA". It matches the Rfam family "Bacterial small subunit ribosomal RNA", at positions 29 to 507 of the family's 1533-position model. The record is from RNAcentral.